This 472-nucleotide ribosomal RNA is filed under the name uncultured bacterium. Its description in RNAcentral is "bacterial SSU rRNA". It matches the Rfam family "Bacterial small subunit ribosomal RNA", at positions 355 to 825 of the family's 1533-position model. The record is from RNAcentral.
UGGGGAAUUUUGGACAAUGGGGGCAACCCUGAUCCAGCAAUGCCGCGUGAGUGAAGAAGGCCUUCGGGUUGUAAAGCUCUUUUGUCAGGGAAGAAACGGUAGUAGCGAAUAACUAUUACUAAUGACGGUACCUGAAGAAUAAGCACCGGCUAACUACGUGCCAGCAGCCGCGGUAAUACGUAGGGUGCAAGCGUUAAUCGGAAUUACUGGGCGUAAAGCGUGCGCAGGCGGUUGUGUAAGUCAGAUGUGGAAUCCCCGGGCUCAACCUGGGAAUUGCAUUUGAGACUGCACGGCUAGAGUGUGUCAGAGGGGGGUAGAAUUCCACGUGUAGCAGUGAAAUGCGUAGAUAUGUGGAGGAAUACCGAUGGCGAAGGCAGCCCCCUGGGAUAACACUGACGCUCAUGCACGAAAGCGUGGGGAGCAAACAGGAUUAGAUACCCACGUAGUCCCUGAGCGGGCUGGCAAGGCGCAU